Long non-coding RNA from Schistocerca gregaria, 845 nucleotides. RefSeq lists it as uncharacterized. The transcript is spliced from 2 exons. The record is from RefSeq and is a predicted model, not a curated record. NCBI's taxonomy places the organism in Eukaryota, Metazoa, Arthropoda, Insecta, Orthoptera, Acrididae.
UUUUCCUCCAUUGAUAACUGUCGGAUCUGAGUCAUUAACUUCGAAGCUGUUUUAAAAAUGACGUCGUAACUAUUCUCGAGUCAGUACAAAAGACGACCGGUUUCGUUUUGCUCUUCACUUCUCCCGAAGACUCGAAAGGAACGUUUCCGCUAAAGUGAAUGACUGUGUAAUGAAGACAACGGAGUUACUUGUUGUGGCAACUGUCAUUCUGUCGUUCGACAACGUUUGUGACACGGUACCAACAAGAAGGCAACAACAAGGGUCACUACAGCGUCAUCAUCAGGGUCAACAGCGCCCCCAGCGAGUGGCGCUCGCUCCGGGGUACGAGAAGUAUCCUGACUUGACGACGUACGGGGACAUGCCACCUUUCCUGCCUGUAUACCCUGUGGUGCUGUAUGAUGGGUCCAUUUACUAUCCGUCUCCAAUGGACUUGCAAGAUCCUUAUUACUACAUGGGGCUGGGAGGAUAUGGACCCUGUCGCAGUGGCCAGAAGAAGCAUGGUCACAACCAUCAACCAAGACAAUAGAUAACCUUUCAACAACACGUGGACUGUCACAGCAAAACUGGCGUGUUAACAUCAGUCACUCAGUUUCUUAUUGACUCUGUUACAGCAUUCUCAGCCCUGGGUUUACCAGUGUGCUGUGGAACUUCAACUAAUCCAGUUAAAAUGGAAAACUUAAUUCAUAGUGACAUUUAUUUAAAUACUAAUAUUACAUUUGUCUUGUAUGUUACCAGUCUCAUCAUAACAAAAUGUUCAUAGAGAAGCUAAUACCAGUAAACUGCAGAGCAAGAACAACUUACAAGCAGUAAGCCAAUACAGCAAGACAAAGUACAUGAUACUUUAA